This 245-nucleotide ribosomal RNA is filed under the name uncultured Actinomycetales bacterium. Its description in RNAcentral is "partial 16S ribosomal RNA". It matches the Rfam family "Bacterial small subunit ribosomal RNA", at positions 87 to 334 of the family's 1533-position model. Lineage: Bacteria; Bacillati; Actinomycetota; Actinomycetes; Actinomycetales. The record is from RNAcentral.
GUGCUCGAGUGGCGAACGGGUGAGUAACACGUGAGUAACCUGCCCUUGACUUUGGGAUAACUUCAGGAAACUGGGGCUAAUACCGAUAGGAGCUCCUGCUGCAUGGUGGGGGUUGGAAAGUUUCGGCGGUUGGGGAUGGACUCGCGGCUUAUCAGCUUGUUGGUGGGGUAGUGGCUUACCAAGGCUUUGACGGGUAGCCGGCCUGAGAGGGUGACCGGCCACAUUGGGACUGAGAUACGGCCCAG